GGAACUCAGACACAGGUGCUGCAUGGCUGUCGUCAGCUCGUGUCGUGAGAUGUUGGGUUAAGUCCCGUAACGAGCGCAACCCUUGUCCUUAGUUACCAGCACGUUAUGGUGGGCACUCUAAGGAGACUGCCGGUGACAAACCGGAGGAAGGUGGGGAUGACGUCAAGUCAUCUGUGGCCUUACGGCCAGGGCUACACACGUGCUACAAUGGUCGGUACAAAGGGUUGCCAAGCCGCGAGGUGGAGCUAAUCCCAUAAAACCGAUCGUAGUCCGGAUCGCAGUCUGCAACUCGACUGCGUGAAGUCGGACUCGCUAGUAAUCGUGAAUCAGAAUGUCACGGUGAAUACGUUCCCGGGCCUUGUACACACCGCCCGUCACACCAUGGGAGUGGGUUGCUCCAGAAGUAGCUAGUCUAACCGCAAGGG
This 425-nucleotide ribosomal RNA is filed under the name uncultured bacterium. RNAcentral's name for it is "bacterial SSU rRNA". It matches the Rfam family "Bacterial small subunit ribosomal RNA", at positions 1023 to 1447 of the family's 1533-position model. The record is from RNAcentral.